AUGCACGCUGGCGGCGUGCCUCAUACAUGCAGGUCGAGCGCACAGACGAGGAGCUUGCUCCUCUGACGUUAGCGGCGGACGGGUGAGUAACACGUGGAUAACCUACCUAUAAGACUGGGAUAACUUCGGGAAACCGGAGCUAAUACCGGAUAAUAUAUUGAACCGCAUGGUUCAAUAGUGAAAGACGGUUUUGCUGUCACUUAUAGAUGGAUCCGCGCCGCAUUAGCUAGUUGGUAAGGUAACGGCUUACCAAGGCAACGAUGCGUAGCCGACCUGAGAGGGUGAUCGGCCACACUGGAACUGAGACACGGUCCAGACUCCUACGGGAGGCAGCAGUAGGGAAUCUUCCGCAAUGGGCGAAAGCUUGACGGAGCAACGCCGCGUGAGUGAUGAAGGUCUUCGGAUCGUAAAACUCUGUUAUUAGGGAAGAACAAAUGUGUAAGUAACUAUGCACGUCUUGACGGUACCUAAUCAGAAAGCCACGGCUAACUACGUG
This 496-nucleotide ribosomal RNA is filed under the name uncultured bacterium. RNAcentral describes it as "partial 16S ribosomal RNA". It matches the Rfam family "Bacterial small subunit ribosomal RNA", at positions 29 to 507 of the family's 1533-position model. The record is from RNAcentral.